Molecule: ribosomal RNA, 491 nt
Filed under: uncultured bacterium
Lineage: Bacteria
Description: partial 16S ribosomal RNA
Rfam family: Bacterial small subunit ribosomal RNA
Source: RNAcentral
AGUGAACGCUGGCGGUAGGCCUAACACAUGCAAGUCGAACGGCAGCACAGUAAGAGCUUGCUCUUACGGGUGGCGAGUGGCGGACGGGUGAGGAAUACAUCGGAAUCUACUUUUUCGUGGGGGAUAACGUAGGGAAACUUACGCUAAUACCGCAUACGACCUACGGGUGAAAGCAGGGGAUCUUCGGACCUUGCGCGAUUGAAUGAGCCGAUGUCGGAUUAGCUAGUUGGCGGGGUAAAGGCCCACCAAGGCGACGAUCCGUAGCUGGUCUGAGAGGAUGAUCAGCCACACUGGAACUGAGACACGGUCCAGACCCCUACGGGAGGCAGCAGUGGGGAAUAUUGGACAAUGGGCGCAAGCCUGAUCCAGCCAUACCGCGUGGGUGAAGAGGGCCUUCGGGUUGUAAAGCCCUUUUGUUGGGAAAGAAAAGCAGCAGGUUAAUACCCCGCUGUUCUGACGGUACCCAAAGAAUAAGCACCGGCUAACUUCGU